Long non-coding RNA from Canis lupus familiaris (dog), 733 nucleotides. RefSeq lists it as uncharacterized. The transcript has 2 exons. NCBI's taxonomy places the organism in Eukaryota, Metazoa, Chordata, Mammalia, Carnivora, Canidae. The record is from RefSeq and is a predicted model, not a curated record.
CCAAGCCCACAGCCCUACCUAUUCCCACCAGGGAGGAAAUGAGGCACUUCCCCUGCUGAGAUGGAUGCAUGAAGACCAUCGUGGUGCACAGGCCGAGGGGUUAGACCCGCUGCCCAUGGAGACCAAUGCUCACUACUGAAGCCGAUCUUGCCCCGUCCCUUCACCAUGCAAGUAAAGCACUGUUCCAUCCAGUGCCUGUGUGAGUCGUGUCUUUUUUGGCAGGCCCAGUAUGUGCAAGCCGGACAGGGGGCUGACGUCCUGGGACUGCUGCUCUUGCUGGUAGGAUCUUCCAGCAAAGGGCCUCUUCCCCUUGGAGCAGAACAGAUGUCAUCUACUUGGCAGUAAUGACAAGACUCCAGCUUUGUUUGAAUUGCCGUGCAAGACUGAUUGUUCAGUUAAGUGGUUGUCGGCCUUGGCCAACUCCUAUUCCUCCGCAAGUGCCCAGAGCUGGCAACGCCCCUGGGGAUGAAGACAGCUGGCUCUCAAGGUGCCUGGUUCCCCUCUUAGGAAUGGCACAUCACUCAGCCCUCAUGGCUCCCAUGGCCCUCUACCACCAUUCAAAAUACAAUCUCUGUGGUGUAUGCCUUUGUUGUAGGGGAGGACAGUGCCAUGCCUAUGGGAUGUGCUGGAAGGCAGAAGUGUCCCCCCAUCACUUUCUGAGGCUUCACUUCUGGGACAAAACCGCCUGUUUUCUUAUUAAAAUAAAUAAAUAUAUGAUCCACAUCUCUUCAUA